This 485-nucleotide ribosomal RNA is filed under the name uncultured bacterium. RNAcentral's name for it is "bacterial SSU rRNA". It matches the Rfam family "Bacterial small subunit ribosomal RNA", at positions 33 to 507 of the family's 1533-position model. The record is from RNAcentral.
ACGACGCUGGCGGCGUGCUUUACACAUGCAAGUCGAGCGGCAUCGCGUCCUUCGGGGAUGGCGGCGAGCGGCGAACGGGUGAGUAAUACAUCGGAACGUACCUUUUAGUGGGGGAUAACUCAUCGAAAGAUGAGCUAAUACCGCAUAAUCUCUGAGGAGGAAAGGCGGGGACUCGGAAGAGCCUGUCGCUGAGAGAGCGGCCGAUGGCUGAUUAGCUAGUUGGAGGGGUAAUGGCCCACCAAGGCGAUGAUCAGUAGCUGUUCUGAGAGGAAGAUCAGCCACACUGGGACUGAGACACGGCCCAGACUCCUACGGGAGGCAGCAGUGGGGAAUUUUGGACAAUGGGGGGAACCCUGAUCCAGCAACGCCGCGUGAAUGAAGAAGGCCUUAGGGUUGUAAAGUUCUUUUGUCUGGGAGCAAAAGGUUGGUGCUAAUAUCAUCAGCUGUUGAGAGUACCAGAAGAAUAAGCACCGGCUAACUACGUG